CCCAGACUCCUACGGGAGGCAGCAGUGAGGAAUAUUGGUCAAUGGUCGGGAGACUGAACCAGCCAAGCCGCGUGAGGGAUGAAGGUACAGAGUAUCGUAAACCUCUUUUGUCAGGGAACAAAGGCGGGGACGCGUCCCCGGAUGAGUGUACCUGAAGAAAAAGCAUCGGCUAACUCCGUGCCAGCAGCCGCGGUAAUACGGAGGAUGCGAGCGUUAUCCGGAUUUAUUGGGUUUAAAGGGUGCGCAGGCGGUCUGUUAAGUCAGCGGUAAAAUUUCGGGGCUCAACCCCGUCGUGCCGUUGAAACUGGCGUUCUUGAGUGAGCGAGAAGUAUGCGGAAUGCGUGGUGUAGCGGUGAAAUGCAUAGAUAUCACGCAGAACUCCGAUUGCGAAGGCAGCAUACCGGCGCUCAACUGACGCUCAUGCACGAAAGCGUGGGUAUCGAACAGGAUUAGAUA
RNAcentral lists this ribosomal RNA (456 nucleotides) under uncultured bacterium. RNAcentral describes it as "bacterial SSU rRNA". It matches the Rfam family "Bacterial small subunit ribosomal RNA", at positions 330 to 784 of the family's 1533-position model. The record is from RNAcentral.